UAGGGAAUAUUGCGCAAUGAACGAAAGUUUGACGCAGCGACGCCGCGUGAGGGAUGAAGGUCUUCGGAUCGUAAACCUCUGUCAAGAGGGAAGAAGUGCAGGCACUCUAACAUAGUGUUUGUUUGACGGUACCUCUGAAGGAAGCACCGGCUAACUCCGUGCCAGCAGCCGCGGUAAUACGGAGGGUGCAAGCGUUAAUCGGAAUUACUGGGCGUAAAGCGCGCGUAGGCGGAUUCUUAAGUCAGGAGUGAAAUCCCCGGGCUCAACCUGGGAAUAGCUUUUGAUACUGGGAGUCUUGAGUUCAGGAGAGGGUGGCGGAAUUCCAGGUGUAGGAGUGAAAUCCGUAGAGAUCUGGAGGAACAUCAGUGGCGAAGGCGGCCACCUGGACUGAUACUGACGCUGAGGUGCGAAAGCGUGGGGAGCAAACAGG
RNAcentral lists this ribosomal RNA (430 nucleotides) under uncultured bacterium. RNAcentral's name for it is "bacterial SSU rRNA". It matches the Rfam family "Bacterial small subunit ribosomal RNA", at positions 355 to 776 of the family's 1533-position model. The record is from RNAcentral.